This 559-nucleotide ribosomal RNA is filed under the name uncultured Alphaproteobacteria bacterium. Its description in RNAcentral is "bacterial SSU rRNA". It matches the Rfam family "Bacterial small subunit ribosomal RNA", at positions 338 to 916 of the family's 1533-position model. The record is from RNAcentral. Lineage: Bacteria; Pseudomonadati; Pseudomonadota; Alphaproteobacteria.
CCUACGGGAGGCAGCAGUGGGGAAUAUUGGACAAUGGGGGCAACCCUGAUCCAGCGAUGCCGCGUGAGUGAAGAAGGCCUUUGGGUUGUAAAACUCUUUCACCUGUGAAGAUAAUGACGGUAGCAGGAGAAGAAGCACCGGCAAACUCUGUGCCAGCAGCCGCGGUAAGACAGAGGGUGCUAGCGUUGUUCGGAAUGACUGGGCGUAAAGGGCGCGUAGGCGGUUUUUCAAGUCAGAUGUGAAAGCCCCGGGCUUAACCUGGGAACUGCAUUUGAUACUGGAUGACUAGAGUGCGAGAGAGGAAAGUGGAAUUCCUAGUGUAGAGGUGAAAUUCGUAGAUAUUAGGAGGAACACCAGAGGCGAAGGCGGCUUUCUGGCUCGCAACUGACGCUGAGGCGCGAAAGCGUGGGGAGCAAACAGGAUUAGAUACCCUGGUAGUCCACGCCGUAAACGAUGAGUGCUAGACGUCGGGCGUUUAACGUUCGGUGUCGCAGCUAACGCAUUAAGCACUCCGCCUGGGGAGUACGGUCGCAAGAUUAAAACUCAAAGGAAUUGACGG